Molecule: ribosomal RNA, 427 nt
Filed under: uncultured bacterium
Lineage: Bacteria
Description: bacterial SSU rRNA
Rfam family: Bacterial small subunit ribosomal RNA
Source: RNAcentral
UGAACGCUGGCGGCGUGCUUAACACAUGCAAGUCGAACGAACCUUCGGGUUAGUGGCGGACGGGUGAGUAACGCGUGGGAAUCUGCCCUCAGGAGGGGGAUAACGGCUGGAAACGGCCGCUAAUACCCCAUAUGCCGCGAGGUGAAAUGAAUUUCGCCUGAGGAUGAGCCCGCGUCUGAUUAGCUAGUUGGUGGGGUAAAGGCCUACCAAGGCGACGAUCAGUAGCUGGUCUGAGAGGAUGAUCAGCCACACUGGGACUGAGACACGGCCCAGACUCCUACGGGAGGCAGCAGUGGGGAAUUUUCCGCAAUGGGCGAAAGCCUGACGGAGCAACGCCGCGUGAGGGAUGAAGGCCUCUGGGCUGUAAACCUCUUUUCUCAAGGAAGAAGAUCUGACGGUACUUGAGGAAUAAGCCACGGCUAAUUCC